UUUUGACAUGCGGAGAGUAUUCCAACAACAUGCAGUUUUCUGCCUGCAGUCUGAAGGAGUGCAGCUGUUCAGCUUCAUCUCCUACUGCUGGACCUCUGACACCCCUCUGAGUCUGCGUUUGACACCCUUCUUGAGUUUGCUUGAAGGCAGUUUCUAGUGGCGACUUGUCAGCUGCAGCAGGGUGCUAAAUGGAGAAAUGUGACAGCUCCUUGCCUAGAUAUGAGCUUAACAGAGCAGUGUGAGAUCCAGCAACCUUUAUCAACAAUGACGCUAGCCAGCAGAAAGGGACAAAAGGCUCCCAAAGCAAACCGUGGUCCUGUGAGAGAGCAGACAAAACCCAACUCAUAUAAGGAGAGCACCAUUCCCAGCAGCAGCUAGUUUCUUGUAUAGUAUCUCAGUGCAGAGGCCCUUGCAAGGCUUUAUUCUGAAUUAAUGUGCAUCUUAUCACUUUUCUGAAAUAACCUGGUUAUCCUGAUGCCUGCCUGCAAUGUCAUGUACAGCUGUGGACAUGUACUGACUUUAGCUGUGCAAAGAUAAAAAAAGAAUCUUUUUUUGUACAGCAGCCAUAUAUUUUAAAAAUGUAAGCUGUUUCAAAAUGCUUUUAAAUAAAGUAAAAUCCAAAGGUGGUAAUUCUUAUUGUUUUAAGGUAUGAACUUUGUUCAGAAAGAUGCAACUGUUU
This is a long non-coding RNA of Podarcis raffonei (Aeolian wall lizard), 679 nucleotides long. RefSeq lists it as uncharacterized. The record is from RefSeq and is a predicted model, not a curated record. The transcript is spliced from 4 exons. Lineage: Eukaryota; Metazoa; Chordata; Lepidosauria; Squamata; Lacertidae.